AGUGUGCUCCGAGCGGAACCGCCUAAGGGCCCGGCCUAUGGCGUACCGCCAGGGUCGCUCUGGAAACGGCGCGGCCUUCCGUCUUUGAAAAGGAGUCU
This 98-nucleotide non-coding RNA is filed under the name uncultured Flavonifractor sp. Its description in RNAcentral is "Moco (molybdenum cofactor) riboswitch". It matches the Rfam family "Molybdenum/Tungsten riboswitch aptamer (Moco RNA motif)", at positions 13 to 119 of the family's 135-position model. The record is from RNAcentral. Lineage: Bacteria; Bacillati; Bacillota; Clostridia; Eubacteriales; Oscillospiraceae.